UACGUAGGGGGCGAGCGUUGUCCGGAUUUAUUGGGCGUAAAGAGCGUGUAGGCGGCCAGGUAGGUCUGCUGUGAAAACUCGAGGCUCAACCUCGAGCUGUCGGCGGAAACCAUCUGGCUAGAGUCCGGAAGAGGAGAAUGGAAUUCCCGGUGUAGCGGUGAAAUGCGCAGAUAUCGGGAAGAACACCCGUGGCGAAGGCGGUUCUCUGGGACGGUACUGACGCUGAGACGCGAAAGCGUGGGGAGCGAACAGG
This 253-nucleotide ribosomal RNA is filed under the name uncultured bacterium. RNAcentral's name for it is "partial 16S ribosomal RNA". It matches the Rfam family "Bacterial small subunit ribosomal RNA", at positions 524 to 776 of the family's 1533-position model. The record is from RNAcentral.